Molecule: ribosomal RNA, 427 nt
Filed under: uncultured bacterium
Lineage: Bacteria
Description: partial 16S ribosomal RNA
Rfam family: Bacterial small subunit ribosomal RNA
Source: RNAcentral
UGGGGAAUAUUGCACAAUGGGCGCAAGCCUGAUGCAGCCAUGCCGCGUGUAUGAAGAAGGCCUUCGGGUUGUAAAGUACUUUCAGCGGGGAGGAAGGCGAUAAGGUUAAUAACCUUGUCGAUUGACGUUACCCGCAGAAGAAGCACCGGCUAACUCCGUGCCAGCAGCCGCGGUAAUACGGAGGGUGCAAGCGUUGAUCGGAAUUACUGGGCGUAAAGCGCACGCAGGCGGUAUGUCAAGUCGGAUGUGAAAUCCCCGGGCUCAACCUGGGAACUGCAUUCGAAACUGGCAGGCUAGAGUCUUGUAGAGGGGGGUAGAAUUCCAGGUGUAGCGGUGAAAUGCGUAGAGAUCUGGAGGAAUACCGGUGGCGAAGGCGGCCCCCUGGACAAAGACUGACGCUCAGGUGCGAAAGCGUGGGGAGCAAACA